CGCUCGGCUAGGGAUGUGUAAGAUGGCACACAGCCACACCCGAAAACAGGUUGGAGAUCACUCACGCUGGGCUGGUGGGAUGUAAGAUGGCACAGCCGCCCGGAAAACAGGUUGGAGAUCACUCAAACAGGUUGGAGAUCACUCACGCCAGACUGGUGGGAUGUUAAGAUGGCACAGCCGCCCGGAAAACAGGUUGGAGGUCACUCACACGGGGCUGGUGGGAUGUAAGAUGGCACAGCCACCCGGGAAACAGGUUGGAGAUCACUCACGCCGGGCUGGUGGGAUGUAAGACGGCACAGCCGCCCGGAAAACAGGUUGGAGAUCACUCACGCGGGGCUGGUGGGAUGUAAGAUGGCACAGCCGCCCGGAAAACAGGUUGGAGAUCACUCAAACAGGUUGGAGAUCACUCACGCCAGGCUGGUGCGAUGUAAGAUGGCACAGCCGCCCGGGAAACAGGUUGGAGAUCACUCAAACAGGUUGGAGAUCACCUGGCGCAGGGCUGGUGGGAUGUAAGAUGGCACAGCCGCCCGGAAAACAGGUUGGAGAUCACUCACACGGGGCUGGUGCGAUGCAAGAUGGUACAGCCGCCUGGAAAACAGGUUAGC
This 605-nucleotide long non-coding RNA is filed under the name Papio anubis (olive baboon). Its description in RNAcentral is "lncRNA (ENSPANG00000038185.1)". Lineage: Eukaryota; Metazoa; Chordata; Mammalia; Primates; Cercopithecidae. The record is from RNAcentral.